AAUCCAUAGGUUAAUGAGGCGAACCGGGGGAACUGAAACAUCUAAGUACCCCGAGGAAAAGAAAUCAACCGAGAUUCCCCCAGUAGCGGCGAGCGAACGGGGAGGAGCCCAGAGCCUGAAUCAGCAUGUGUGUUAGUGGAAGCGUCUGGAAAGGCGCGCGAUACAGGGUGACAGCCCCGUACACAAAAGCGCAUGUGCUGUGAGCUCGAUGAGUAGGGCGGGACACGUGGUAUCCUGUCUGAAUAUGGGGGGACCAUCCUCCAAGGCUAAAUACUCCUGACUGACCGAUAGUGAACCAGUACCGUGAGGGAAAGGCGAAAAGAACCCCGGCGAGGGGAGUGAAAAAGAACCUGAAACCGUGUACGUACAAGCAGUGGGAGCACCCUUUGGGUGUGACUGCGUACCUUUUGUAUAAUGGGUCAGCGACUUAUAUUCUGUAGCAAGGUUAACCGAAUAGGGGAGCCGGAGGGAAACCGAGUCUUAACCGGGCGUUAAGUUGCAGGGUAUAGACCCGAAACCCGGUGAUCUAGCCAUGGGCAGGUUGAAGGUUGGGUAACACUAACUGGAGGACCGAACCGACUAAUGUUGAAAAAUUAGCGGAUGACCUGUGGCUGGGGGUGAAAGGCCAAUCAAACCGGGAGAUAGCUGGUUCUCCCCGAAAGCUAUUUAGGUAGCGCCUCGUGAAUUCAUCUCCGGGGGUAGAGCACUGUUUCGGCUAGGGGGCCAUCCCGGCUUACCAACCCGAUGCAAACUGCGAAUACCGGAGAAUGUUAUCACGGGAGACACACGGCGGGUGCUAACGUCCGUCGUGAAGAGGGAAACAACCCAGACCGCCAGCUAAGGUCCCAAAGUCAUGGUUAAGUGGGAAACGAUGUGGGAAGGCCCAGACAGCCAGGAUGUUGGCUUAGAAGCAGCCAUCAUUUAAAGAAAGCGUAAUAGCUCACUGGUCGAGUCGGCCUGCGCGGAAGAUGUAACGGGGCUAAACCAUGCACCGAAGCUGCGGCAGCGACACUGUGUGUUGUUGGGUAGGGGAGCGUUCUGUAAGCCUGUGAAGGUGUGUCGUGAGGCA
This 1069-nucleotide ribosomal RNA is filed under the name Salmonella enterica. RNAcentral's name for it is "partial 23S ribosomal RNA". It matches the Rfam family "Bacterial large subunit ribosomal RNA", at positions 161 to 1270 of the family's 2925-position model. Lineage: Bacteria; Pseudomonadati; Pseudomonadota; Gammaproteobacteria; Enterobacterales; Enterobacteriaceae. RNAcentral also lists the same sequence under 1 other name. The record is from RNAcentral.